RNAcentral lists this non-coding RNA (565 nucleotides) under unclassified sequences. RNAcentral describes it as "ROOL RNA". It matches the Rfam family "ROOL RNA". Rfam says of the family: Firmicutes, Fusobacteria (1 example), Tenericutes (1 example). The record is from Rfam by way of RNAcentral.
CCUGCUAUUUUCAAACAUGGUUAACUCAGUGCAGAUAGAUUUUUCAGUCUAGCUGAGAUGCAGGGUUAUAUGAGAUAGAGUAGUUCGGGAUACUGGGCUAUCAACUAUCUUUCUGGCAGAAUCGCUCCUGCCAGAGGAGGAAGAAACUUCCAAUACACCUUGUAGUGUAUCAUCAUAAAGAGACCAAAAGCAGAAUCCUUGUGGUCAGUGUAUAAUAGACGCUUGCGGUGCAAGAAUAAUCCGUUGAUGUGAGGGGCGUGAGAGACCACGGACUAGGCGGAAAUCUCAUUAAGCUGAUUUGCCUUGAACCUGAGAAAUCAGGGUAUAACACAAGAGAUUCGUUAGAGUAGCGGUAUGGCAUUUAUUAUAAAAUAAAAUCUUUCGAAUGAUUAUCGAAAAACUUCUGAAAGAACCGUGAAAUUUGUGGGUGACAUUCCCGUUUGUGCUUGACCGCGGUAAGAAGCUCAGGGUCGCUCCCGAAGGCUCAGACUUAUCGUCACAGUGGCUGAAUAUGGUUGCAAGUAUGAUGGAUAAGGGGAAACCCUAAUCAUGUUUGAAUAGUUGA